UCCUGGGCCAUUAGCUCAGGUGGUUAGAGCGCACCCCUGAUAAGGGUGAGGUCCCUGGUUCAAGUCCAGGAUGGCCCAUUCGUUGUUGGGGGUAUAGCUCAGUUGGUAGAGCGCCUGCUUUGCAAGCAGGAUGUCAGCGGUUCGAGUCCGCUUACCUCCACUGAAAACUAUCCUGACAACUAAAUUCUGGAGAAAAAUUGUAGAUGUGGCUUAGAAUUGUCUAUUUGAAGAGAACCUAGCUUCUUGUCAUCUUUUAUAGUUGAUAAAAUGCUGGGCUCGCAUGGAUUAUUUCCAUGAGAAUUCAGUAGAACCUUGAAAACUGCAUAGAUUAGAAAGAAUAAAGCAUCUCAUGGAUGCAUAAUUCUGUUUUUAUAAUUUAGCCUUAAAACUAAAUUAUUUAAUUCUAGAAUUCAUGUUUAAUUCUUGAGUAAAAGCCGAGCACAAUUGAUUUUGUGAUUGUAUUUAAGGUCAAGCUACAAAGGGCUCAUGGCGGAUACCUUGGCACACAGAGGCGAUGAA
Molecule: transfer RNA, 519 nt
Filed under: uncultured cyanobacterium
Lineage: Bacteria; Bacillati; Cyanobacteriota
Description: partial contains 16S-23S ribosomal RNA intergenic spacer and 23S ribosomal RNA
Rfam family: tRNA (bases 88-160)
Source: RNAcentral